RNAcentral lists this ribosomal RNA (748 nucleotides) under Pseudomonas aeruginosa. RNAcentral's name for it is "bacterial SSU rRNA". It matches the Rfam family "Bacterial small subunit ribosomal RNA", at positions 50 to 792 of the family's 1533-position model. Lineage: Bacteria; Pseudomonadati; Pseudomonadota; Gammaproteobacteria; Pseudomonadales; Pseudomonadaceae. The record is from RNAcentral.
AACGUGGCUACGCAGUCAGCGGAUGAGGGAGCUUGCUCCUGGAUUCAGCGGCGGACGGGUGAGUAAUGCCUAGGAAUCUGCCUGGUAGUGGGGGAUAACGUCCGGAAACGGGCGCUAAUACCGCAUACGUCCUGAGGGAGAAAGUGGGGGAUCUUCGGACCUCACGCUAUCAGAUGAGCCUAGGUCGGAUUAGCUAGUUGGUGGGGUAAAGGCCUACCAAGGCGACGAUCCGUAACUGGUCUGAGAGGAUGAUCAGUCACACUGGAACUGAGACACGGUCCAGACUCCUACGGGAGGCAGCAGUGGGGAAUAUUGGACAAUGGGCGAAAGCCUGAUCCAGCCAUGCCGCGUGUGUGAAGAAGGUCUUCGGAUUGUAAAGCACUCGAAGUUGGGAGGAAGGGCAGUAAGUUAAUACCUUGCUGUUCGGACGUUACCAACAGAAUAAGCACCGGCUAACUUCGUGCCAGCAGCCGCGGUAAUACGAAGGGUGCAAGCGUUAAUCGGAAUUACUGGGCGUAAAGCGCGCGUAGGUGGUUCAGCAAGUUGGAUGUGAAAUCCCCGGGCUCAACCUGGGAACUGCAUCCAAAACUACUGAGCUAGAGUACGGUAGAGGGUGGUGGAAUCGCCUGUGUAGCGGUGAAAUGCGUAUAUAUAGGAAGGAACACCAGUGGCGAAGGCGACCCCCUGGACUGAUACUGACACUGAGGUGCGAAAGCGUGGGGAGCAUACAGGAAUGGAUACCCUGUGA